UUUUUUUCUAUGUUGUAUGCAAAAAAUCAAGUUAGCAUGUAUUUCAAUUUGCAGUAAACUUAAUCUAUCAAAAAAGACCACAUUUAUUAUCUUUCUUUUGGAAAAAGUCGAGUCAUAAAGAACUUUCCACUUUUUGUAAGUGGUAUGAUGUUUUAUUGGCAUGGUAUCAGGAUUGGAGAACAUUCAGUUUCUCUUCCUUAUUCUUUUAAUGGUGCAAAUCUUAAUGUUCUGAAUGGACUAGUUAUGACUGAAUCUAGAUGAGACGUCCUUUGUUUUGUUUUAAGAUUUAUAUUUUACCCUAUUAUUAUACAAUGUGCAAUCAUUUGUUAUAAAUGUGUAAAAAUUGUUACUUCUAUGUAAAUUACUAUCAGACAGUGCUCAAAUACUGGUCUUAAAACUAUAUCAUUGUUCAUACUAAGAUAUGUAGAUUAUAUAUUAUUACUUAUAUUGUAAAUAUUGUUGUAAAUUCUCAUUAUUUUUUUUGGCUUGUGAUAUAAUGGCUUAGUAUUAAUUGUGAUUCAUGAACAAAAUUUUAUAAAUGGUUUUCAUUUUAUGUAGUCAAAAUUUUAUAUUAAUGUAAAAAACCCAAUUUUGUUAUUAAAGAAAAUAAUCAUAUUUUAUAAUGAAGAAUUAUUGCUGUUAAGUGUAUUUACAUCGAGAUUGUUUAGACAUUUUUAUCAUCUACUUCUGUUAUACUUACAUUAUAUUCACAAAAUGUACAGACAUUGAAGCUUUGAACACAGAUUAACUAUCAUUUUUCACAUGACAAUCAGAUGUCAACAAGUUAUAUAAUUCAAAACAAAAUCUGUUGAUUCUUUUACUCCUCUGUUAUUUUCGAAACCUUCAAACUAUAAGCAUUUUCAGGUGGAAGAUCUGCAGUUCUGCAAGCACACAUUUUUGUUCUCAAAUAAUCUAAUAUUUUGGUUUGGGCAGUCAAAUUCAAUUGCACCAAAAUUGAACAUUGUAUAACUAAUGCAAUGUUGCUUGAUCAAUUUGAAGAAAAUUGUUAUUCCUCUUGAUACAAUAUUUUGAAACUAGUACUAUACUUUUGUUUGUUUGUAUAUGAUAAGACAAAAAAAUCUUUUUCAUAACUGUUUCAUUCCCAAUUAGAUAUUUAGAUACACCAUGGUUUCCAUAUAAAUCUACAAAGAACAUGUUGUUUGGAAUACAGUCAGCUUUGUCAUUGAUUAAUUAGUAAAACACAAAAUAUAUUUACUUUUAAGUGACAUGCAUAUCAAUUUUCUCUGCAUGAUAUACUCAUAUAUAUGAUUUCAGCCCUUGACCAAUGUAAAUCUAAUUGCCAGUCAUGUCAAUUAAGAGGCUAAAAUAAAAAUUGCAACCUGUUAUCACAUGUGAUUUGGUAAUUUGGAUUGAAGUAGGAGAAUUUAGUCCCUUUCAAAAAAAGAUGAAACAUUUAGUUUUUGAUUUGCUCAUUUGUUGGACUGUUCCAGUGUUGAAAUACAAUGUGUUAAAUGUAAAUCCAGUCACAAAAAUUAUUUUAAAUAUUACAACUUAAUUUAAAGGGAAAAUUUGACAAUGUUCAGAUUUUAUUAAAAGAUCUCCCAGCAGUUUCAGAAAAGUUUGCAGCCGUAAAGAAUUAAUCCUAGGAUGAAAUCUUUUUAUAGGGACUUAACAGAGGUAUAAAGUUUAUGUAGCCUCUAUACCUUAAAUGAUUUUUUUGCAAUUCCCUAUAGGGAUAUAAUGUAAGGAUUUUAAUAAUCAUGCAAAGAUUUCUCUAAUGACAAGAUAAUUAUGAAGAAAAUUAUAUUUAAAUUAAAUGUUAACUUUAUUCUCUGUCAGAAUAGGUAAUCAUGAAAAAUUAUUUACACCGACUUGAUUAUUUUUUUGUGGAUGAUAGAAUAUAUAUGGAGAAUAAAUAUAGCUAUGGUGAUCUUGUAUUGUUGUAUAUGCUCAUUUCUGUACAGAAAUAUAAAAUGUACUAAAUUGUGAAUGACAUUAUGGGUCGUUUUCAAAAUACCGGUUAAAAGGUUGUUUAAAUAUAUUGCAAAAAUCUCAUUGUAAAAUAUUCAUGUUUCGUCCUAUUAUUUUAUGUCAAAUUCUCAUUGAAGGAUAUUAGGUUGUGUAACCCAAAUUAUUUGUUUGACUUUUUUUGUGCAGAGGUGCUGUUUUGUUAGGGCUAUACUGUCUCAUGCAUUUAUAAGAAAUUGAAAGGUUUUUCUAUCAGUGUGACAAUGUACAUGAGAAUGUGUUCAGAAGUAGAAAUGUAUAUCUAAAAAAUCUAGGAAAGUGGAUUACAAAUAAUUAUAUAAGCAGCAGUACUUUAUACAUGCGCAUAUGCAUUAUUAUAACAAAAAAUCGGAUGCUUCACAGCUUCUAACGGUUUUAUUUAUUUAUAAAAUUGAUAUUAUAUUGGGUAGUAGAAGUAAUAUUACCUAUUUAAGCAGGGUGUUUAACAAGUUAUAAAAUUGAGAGGUAUAGCCGUAACAAAAACAUAUUUUUAUCAUGAUAAAAUUGAGAGGUAUAGCCGUAACAAAAACAUAUUUUUAUCAUGAUAAUUUGUAUAUUUACAAUAUACAUUUUAAUAGAAAUAAAACCAAUGAAAAAUACACACUUUUUUUUAUAGAUAUUGAGAAAAAAAUAAUCUUUUUAUAUCAGAAUCUUCAUAAUAUGAGCAUAAUUUGAAUGGGGCAUUAUAAGUUACAGUUUAUACGGGAUGGUGCUUUCUGGGAAAUUUUAGGGACAACUUCCAUUGAUGCACAUUUUCAGAUAAUUGACAAAAUAAUUGUGAUUUAUGUUUCAAGUUACUAUUUAUACUUAACCACACAUAAUAAUAACAAGUUGUGGUAUCAUUAUCAAUGAGAAAAAUAUUGGAAUGAUAAUAUUUUAAAUAUGUAUUUACUAGAGGUUGAAAUAGUAAAUCUACAAUGAUGCCUGUCGAAUCCCAGGUUGUGAAAGUGAACCUAGUUUGUAUGGAGGUGUUUAACACAGAUAAAUUAAAAAAGUUAGCCAGUUUUCUAACCUUAGGUCGUUAGUUGUCCCUGUUUGCACCUGCUUCCUCCACAAAUAAAAACUGAUAAAGCCAGGGUUGCUGACGGUGGCGUUUAACGCCAACUUAUUGAAAUCUUAAUGUAUAUUUUCCUUAAACAAUUCAGAACAGAAUUAGAUUUAAAAUACUAAGAUUUUUAAUACUGAAUUAUUUAACUGUGAAAAAGACAAUAAAAUUAUAUUUAUUAAGAACAGGCCUAGAAUGUAAUGUACAGUUGUGCACAUAAUUUCAUCAUUGUUUCGAAAAUAUACAUAAAAUGUCAUUGUCAUUUAUAUAUAUGCCUACAAAAGAGUGUUUAUUCAUAGUCUGUUUCAUUAUUGUCAUUUCACUAUUGGAACCAAAUUAAAGACAUAUUUUUACUGAAUAAAUGCUCAGAUGAGCAAAU
Molecule: long non-coding RNA, 3392 nt
Filed under: Mytilus galloprovincialis (Mediterranean mussel)
Lineage: Eukaryota; Metazoa; Mollusca; Bivalvia; Mytilida; Mytilidae
Source: RNAcentral